Molecule: small RNA, 76 nt
Filed under: Xanthomonas vesicatoria
Lineage: Bacteria; Pseudomonadati; Pseudomonadota; Gammaproteobacteria; Lysobacterales; Lysobacteraceae
Description: sX9
Source: RNAcentral
AUGGACCAUGCAUCCACUGCGGCUCUGCGUCCGCAGUCCAUACCUAGCGGACGACUGCACGCUACGUUUUUUAGGC